GGUGAUUAGCACGGCCCCUGCGCAAGGAUGACACGCAAAUUCGUAGAGCGUUCCAUAUUUCU
Molecule: small nuclear RNA, 62 nt
Filed under: Pelusios castaneus (West African mud turtle)
Lineage: Eukaryota; Metazoa; Chordata; Testudines; Pelomedusidae
Source: RNAcentral